UUGACCUCGGAUCAGGUAGGAAUACCCGCUGAACUUAAGCAUAUCAGAUAAG
This 52-nucleotide ribosomal RNA is filed under the name Fusarium culmorum. Its description in RNAcentral is "partial 28S ribosomal RNA". Lineage: Eukaryota; Fungi; Ascomycota; Sordariomycetes; Hypocreales; Nectriaceae. The record is from RNAcentral.